AUCUUGGCGUGGCCCCGCUAAGGCAAUCGUGGACCCCGUCUUACCCUCCUCCCCGCGAAGUUUGUGAGAGGGGCGGUGCUCAGCUACCACCCGUCCCAUG
Molecule: ribosomal RNA, 100 nt
Filed under: Chlorophytum borivilianum
Lineage: Eukaryota; Viridiplantae; Streptophyta; Magnoliopsida; Asparagales; Asparagaceae
Description: partial 18S ribosomal RNA
Source: RNAcentral